Molecule: small nucleolar RNA, 73 nt
Organism: Mercurialis annua (annual mercury)
Lineage: Eukaryota; Viridiplantae; Streptophyta; Magnoliopsida; Malpighiales; Euphorbiaceae
Source: RefSeq, a predicted model, not a curated record
UUUCAAAAAUAAAUGGGUAAUUUGCAUCUGAAUUAUUUCAUUGAUGUGUAAUGGUAUCACCUUGGAGAACUGA